RNAcentral lists this ribosomal RNA (1427 nucleotides) under Bacteroides thetaiotaomicron. RNAcentral's name for it is "bacterial SSU rRNA". It matches the Rfam family "Bacterial small subunit ribosomal RNA". Lineage: Bacteria; Pseudomonadati; Bacteroidota; Bacteroidia; Bacteroidales; Bacteroidaceae. The record is from RNAcentral.
AGUCGAGGGGCAGCAUUUCAGUUUGCUUGCAAACUGGAGAUGGCGACCGGCGCACGGGUGAGUAACACGUAUCCAACCUGCCGAUAACUCGGGGAUAGCCUUUCGAAAGAAAGAUUAAUACCCGAUGGUAUAAUCAGACCGCAUGGUCUUGUUAUUAAAGAAUUUCGGUUAUCGAUGGGGAUGCGUUCCAUUAGGCAGUUGGUGAGGUAACGGCUCACCAAACCUUCGAUGGAUAGGGGUUCUGAGAGGAAGGUCCCCCACAUUGGAACUGAGACACGGUCCAAACUCCUACGGGAGGCAGCAGUGAGGAAUAUUGGUCAAUGGGCGCAGGCCUGAACCAGCCAAGUAGCGUGAAGGAUGACUGCCCUAUGGGUUGUAAACUUCUUUUAUAUGGGAAUAAAGUUUUCCACGUGUGGAAUUUUGUAUGUACCAUAUGAAUAAGGAUCGGCUAACUCCGUGCCAGCAGCCGCGGUAAUACGGAGGAUCCGAGCGUUAUCCGGAUUUAUUGGGUUUAAAGGGAGCGUAGGUGGACAGUUAAGUCAGUUGUGAAAGUUUGCGGCUCAACCGUAAAAUUGCAGUUGAUACUGGCUGUCUUGAGUACAGUAGAGGUGGGCGGAAUUCGUGGUGUAGCGGUGAAAUGCUUAGAUAUCACGAAGAACUCCGAUUGCGAAGGCAGCUCACUGGACUGCAACUGACACUGAUGCUCGAAAGUGUGGGUAUCAAACAGGAUUAGAUACCCUGGUAGUCCACACAGUAAACGAUGAAUACUCGCUGUUUGCGAUAUACAGUAAGCGGCCAAGCGAAAGCAUUAAGUAUUCCACCUGGGGAGUACGCCGGCAACGGUGAAACUCAAAGGAAUUGACGGGGGCCCGCACAAGCGGAGGAACAUGUGGUUUAAUUCGAUGAUACGCGAGGAACCUUACCCGGGCUUAAAUUGCAUUUGAAUAUAUUGGAAACAGUAUAGCCGUAAGGCAAAUGUGAAGGUGCUGCAUGGUUGUCGUCAGCUCGUGCCGUGAGGUGUCGGCUUAAGUGCCAUAACGAGCGCAACCCUUAUCUUUAGUUACUAACAGGUCAUGCUGAGGACUCUAGAGAGACUGCCGUCGUAAGAUGUGAGGAAGGUGGGGAUGACGUCAAAUCAGCACGGCCCUUACGUCCGGGGCUACACACGUGUUACAAUGGGGGGUACAGAAGGCAGCUACCUGGUGACAGGAUGCUAAUCCCAAAAGCCUCUCUCAGUUCGGAUCGAAGUCUGCAACCCGACUUCGUGAAGCUGGAUUCGCUAGUAAUCGCGCAUCAGCCAUGGCGCGGUGAAUACGUUCCCGGGCCUUGUACACACCGCCCGUCAAGCCAUGAAAGCCGGGGGUACCUGAAGUACGUAACCGCAAGGAGCGUCCUAGGGUAAAACUGGUAAUUGGGGCUAAGUCGUA